RNAcentral lists this ribosomal RNA (624 nucleotides) under Trichoderma asperellum. Its description in RNAcentral is "eukaryotic LSU rRNA". The stretch from base 235 to 388 matches the Rfam family "5.8S ribosomal RNA". Lineage: Eukaryota; Fungi; Ascomycota; Sordariomycetes; Hypocreales; Hypocreaceae. The record is from RNAcentral.
GCUGAUGCUGACAGCGGAGGGAUCAUCUCCCGAAGUUUUACAACUUCCCCAAACCCAAUGUGAACGUUACCAAACUUGUUGCCUCGGCGGGAUCUCUGCCCCGGGUGCGUCGCAGCCCCGGACCAAGGCGCCCGCCGGAGGACCAACCAAAACUCUUUUUGUAUACCCCCUCGCGGGUUUUUUAUAAUCUGAGCCUUCUCGGCGCCUCUCGUAGGCGUUUCGAAAAUGAAUCAAAACUUUCAACAACGGAUCUCUUGGUUCUGGCAUCGAUGAAGAACGCAGCGAAAUGCGAUAAGUAAUGUGAAUUGCAGAAUUCAGUGAAUCAUCGAAUCUUUGAACGCACAUUGCGCCCGCCAGUAUUCUGGCGGGCAUGCCUGUCCGAGCGUCAUUUCAACCCUCGAACCCCUCCGGGGGGUCGGCGUUGGGGAUCGGCCCUGCCUCUUGGCGGCGGCCGUCUCCGAAAUACAGUGGCGGUCUCGCCGCAGCCUCUCCUGCGCAGUAGUUUGCACACUCGCAUCGGGAGCGCGGCGCGUCCACAGCCGUUAAACACCCAACUUCUGAAAUGUUGACCUCGGAUCAGGUAGGAAUACCCGCUGAACUUAAGCAUAUCAAAAAGGCGGAGGA